AUGUUCGGCGUCCGGUCGCGGGGCAUCACCUUCGGCCCUUGGAAGCACCAAGGCGACCACCCAUGGAUGAAUCAUCCCCCCAUCUACCUCCCCGUCGGCAAGAAGCUGUUCACCCUGAGCACGGCGUCCUUCGAGAUGCUCUCCUUGGAGCAUAUCAUCUACCCCCCGGCUUCAUAUUGCAGCAUGGAUCGUAGCCUCCGCUGGUCGUGGGAGCAGCUCCGCAGGCAGCCAUUUAAGGUCGAUGACGUCGCCUCCUACACCUUGCACGCUGACAAGCGCACCUUCCUCAUCAGCACCAGGACGGAUGCCGCCGCGGCCACCUUCGCCUUCGACACAAAGGCGCUAUCGUGGAAACUACUCGGCAAUUGGGCGCUGCCCUUUGCCGGCCGCGGCCACUUCGUCCCACACCUCAGGGCCUUCGUCGGGCUCUCCAAAGACCCGGACACCCUCGGCCAACUCUACUCUUGCGAUGUGCCCAGCUUUGAUGAUGCCGGUGAUGGGCAGUGCCCUGCUCCUGCGUCAAGGGUCUGCAAUGAGAAGCUGUUCAGCGACAACCCGGCUGAGAGGCAUGUAAGCGCUACCCUCGUCGACAUGCGAUGCGAUGGUGAAUUCUGCCUCGUAGAGCGCGUCUUCGUUGCCGCUGAUCAGGCCCUCGUUGAGGAGGGAGAUGCGCGCCUACCUGGUCGCUGUUUCUAUCGUGUCGCCACAUUCUUUCUCACGUAUGGAAUGAAUGGAGACCUGACGACUCGCAAGAGCCGACAGGUGCAAUACUACCAAGUGCCUGAAGCAACCUCUAAGUUGUUCCUCGCUGAAGAUCCCGUGGCAUUUUGGAUGUAA
RNAcentral lists this ribosomal RNA (837 nucleotides) under Triticum aestivum (bread wheat). RNAcentral describes it as "partial small subunit ribosomal RNA". The record is from RNAcentral. Lineage: Eukaryota; Viridiplantae; Streptophyta; Magnoliopsida; Poales; Poaceae.